GUGAAGAACGCAGCGAAAUGCGAUAAGUAAUGUGAAUUGCAGAAUUCAGUGAAUCAUCGAAUCUUUGAACGCACAUUGCGCCCCUUGGUAUUCCGAGGGGCAUGCCUGUUCGAGCGUCAUUAUAACCCCUCAAGCUCAGCUUGGUGUUGGGGCCUGCCGCACGGGCAGCCCUUAAAAUCAGUGGCGGUGCCAUCUGGCUCUAAGCGUAGUAAUUCUUCUCGCUAUAGAGUCCCGGUGGAUGCUUGCCAUUAACCCCCAAUUUUCUAUGGUUGACCUCGGAUCAGGUAGGGAUACCCGCUGAACUUAAGCAUAUCAAUAAGCGGAGGA
RNAcentral lists this unclassified non-coding RNA (327 nucleotides) under soil metagenome. Its description in RNAcentral is "partial contains 5.8S ribosomal RNA, internal transcribed spacer 2, and large subunit ribosomal RNA". The stretch from base 2 to 119 matches the Rfam family "5.8S ribosomal RNA", at positions 37 to 154 of the family's 154-position model. The record is from RNAcentral.